RNAcentral lists this unclassified non-coding RNA (7115 nucleotides) under Bactrocera latifrons. RNAcentral describes it as "homeobox protein 5, transcript variant X1". The record is from RNAcentral. Lineage: Eukaryota; Metazoa; Arthropoda; Insecta; Diptera; Tephritidae.
CAAAAACUUAUUUCAAAAUCCCUUAUUUUGACUUAUGCUGUUUGACAACUUACAUUGCUCACCAUGAUAAUAGGCACAUUUUACGUCCUGCGUCCACCAAUUUGCUAGCACGCAAAUUAGGCUUCUCCGAAGCACCCAGUGAUUUUCAAACAAGUUCAGUGAUUAAAACUUAAACAUACACACAUAUACAUAUAUACCAUAAAGAUUCCCUACCAAACUGCUUUAGCUGGUUAAAUCAUGGCGGAAUGCUCGUAUGCCAGAUGUCUGCAGGAACGUCGUUUAAUUAAACGUGAACUCAUGAAAUGGUCCAAGGAUAUGUUGCAUAUAGUCGGCUUAGAACGGAUCGCUGAGGAGUUGAUGGAACGCAUGAAAUGGAAGCAAUACCAAGAGCCAUUAACUACGCGCGUCCAUACAAACAAUCACACCGUACAAUCGCCAGCCGAAACAGCAGCAACAGCAGAAUUGCCAGCAGCAACAGCUGCCGCCAGUACAGCAGCGACCUCAGUAGCCCCACAAAUCCCAGUAGAACGGCAAACAUCCACAGAGUACGAUCAACAACAACAAAAACACAACGAUCAGCCUGUAGAGGAGCAGAAGAUUACACAUUUUCAGCAACAAAAAUCGAUCAACGAUCUCGCAGACACCACGAGUGCGCCGUCAUCAUCAUCAUCACCAACAUACGGCCAGAGCAACGGCACUGCAACAGACAACAACAACAGCCAACACAAUCUGCAAUACGAGCAGACACACGAGCGCACACUCGGAGGCGGAACGAACGCCGAAGAACAGCAACAAAACAAAGGAAAUACGCAACAAAGCAACUGCGUAGAAGACUCCAAAAAGUGUAAGCAGGAUCGGGAGGUGCAAGCUGUUACAGACAAUACAACAACAUCACAUAAUCACAACCAACUUCACCGUAAUAACAGUAAUAGUAUAACAUUAAAUAAUAAGACAAAUUGUGGCAACCACAACGGCAACAACAACAACAACAAUAAUACAUCAAUAAAAGUAACGAAUUCAUCACACACAAACACAACAACAACAAACAUCACAAGCGUUAACGCCAAUCAGAAUAGUUUGUCAAGUCUAACUACAUCACCACCGUCAACGCAUCCACCGCAGCGUGCCACUGAAGCGUUUGAGGGGCAGCGUACGCCCACCAUUGAACCGGUCGAUUGGAAGCCGAAUGAGAAGUGUUAUUUUUGUGUGGACGGUAGAUUACUCACGGUGAACGCGAAGGGAGAACUAGUAGCCGAGCCGGCGGGCCCCAUUGUGUCCGCCGUCGGCGGCGAUUCAGUGGAACACGUUCACAGGCUUGAGACCGAUAGCGAUUCGAAUGAAUCAGCGCAUGCGAAUUUGGUGAAUAGUACAACAACUGCGCCUGUUGUAAACAACAACAAUAACAACAGUAAUAGUACGAAUAACAUUAACAACAACAAUAAUAAUAAUAACAACAAUCGCAUCGACUGGAACAAGCUGUUGACGACACGUUUAGUUGAUUUGCCAGCGAAUAUGACUUCAAUGGACUCAAUGGCCGCGCAGUUAGCAGUCAUUUCUGGUUACCCAAAUUUUAAUUGGCUACAAUUAAUGCAACAACAGCAACAGCAAGAGCAACAGCCACAUCCCGCACCGAUACAACUGCAACCACAGCCACAACAACAGCAUCAGCAGCAGCAACAACAACAGCAACAGCAUAUAAGUUCGGCGACACCAACUACCUCAGAGACAUCGGCCGCCGCUGUUAGUCCACCACUCAAGGAUUCGCCCAGUCCCAGUGAUGCCACCGGUGAACAACCCUUAGAUCUUAGUUCGAAACCAUCGCCAAACUCAUCUAUUAGCGGCGAUUUGAAGUCAGUGCGCUCUAAGACGAUGCGCGCCACGCCCACACUCUCUUCACGUCGCCCCUGCACCGAUGAUGCAUUGAGCAGCGCCGUACAAGAAUUUCUCAGCGAAAAGUAUAACACACGCAAAUCGUCAGACCAUUACGCGGGCAGUUCGAGCACGAGCCCAGGACGCGCCAGAUCCAAUCGCACCGGAGUGAGUGGCAAACGUGCGAAUGCCCACCUAGCCAAUGCGCUCUUACACGGCAUGGACGUGGACAAGGAUAUGUCCGGCGAUGAAUGCAGUACUGGCGAUGGCCAUGCAGGCAUAGCUGGUGGCCAUUCGAGUAAUGCUUCAACACCACAACCAGAAACCGCCACACACACUGCACUCGAGGAGCUCGCCAACCGGCUGAACGCGACACAUUCUCUGCGUAAAUAUUGUGUGAAUAAUGGCACCGGUGAUGCGGGGCGACGCGAUGCCGCCAAUGAUGUCGGCAAUUGCAGCAAUUUAUCACCAAAGUCGAACGCAUUAUACGUAGAUGGCGCUAAGUGUGACGCCGGUACACCGUCGAGCAGCGCUACGCCACAGCCGCAGCAAUCACCGCCAGCAGCUGGACUUGAUCCCACAUUAGCGAUUUUGCAGGCAUUCCUCUUUACGCUCACCAGCUUCGGCGCUUUACAGCAACGUGCCGAUCAGCCGGUAACGCUGCGUGAUUUGGUGGCCAAUUUGAAGGAUAUGUUGGAAACACAUACCGCGGGUGAUUUAAGUGUGGAGGGUCUUUUCAGCAAUGGCAAGCCCAAUAUAAUGGAUCAACCGUUGUUGGCGCAGAAGCUGCAACAACAAACGUCAGCGUAUGCGGCACAACGCUUGCCCAAAUCAGAUACACCAGAGACCACGAGCUCGUUGGAGCACCAUGAGCCGAUUGGUGAUGAUCUGGCUGCGUCGAUUCUUAAGAUUCCGUCCUAUAAGCCAGUGGCAGGCACGCCGACGCCCACAUCGGCUGCAGCACGUGCCUCAUGCUCGCCAUCCUUGCUGUGCAACAAUUCCACCGCCAACUCCAUGCCAAAUCCCAACGGCGAUAGUCCGCAUUCCGCGCCCUCCCCACGCAUCGCCAACUCUAUGCUGGCCGCUGCUGUGGCGGCCGCUAGCAAUAAUGGCAACGCCGCAUCUGCCGGCCGUCAGGGCAAUAAUGAUCUAUCUGUCAUUUCGCCGCCACUAAUGCAGCACCGCCAAUCACCACCGUCGUUCAGUUUUCGCGAUAUGAUCGCACAUGGCAUUCACCGCACUAUGAACGAGCAGGCAAAUCAGGACGCGCAUGUCGCCGCCGCUGCUGUUGCUGCAGCUUCAGCGCCAAUGCUGGGCCUGUGCUUAGAAAUGGAGCGCUCGUCUAACAACAAUAGCGGCAGCAGUACGGAUCAUAAGAAACCUACUAUAUCGGUGGUGAAGAAUAUAGGUGGCACCGAUACAACACGGUUUGGUGCUGCACCCAAUGUCUUGGCCGGUUCGAGUGUGGCUGGUAGCAGUAGCAGCACGCACAACUCACAUGGAUAUCAUCAGGCGCACAUGCAUCAUCAUCUGCCACAUCAUCUAAGUCGCCAAGAGGCGGCAGCGCUUGCCGCCGGCAAAGGUACCCGCCCGAAACGUGGUAAGUACCGCAAUUAUGACCGCGAUAGUUUAAUCGAAGCAGUGCGCGCUGUGCAGCGCGGCGAGAUGUCAGUGCAUCGUGCGGGCAGCUAUUUCGGUGUGCCUCAUUCAACGCUCGAGUACAAAGUGAAGGAGCGACAUUUGAUGCGACCGCGUAAGCGUGAACCCAAGCCACAGCCCGGACUGGAUGGUAGCAGCAGCACGACAACGGGCAAAUCAAACUCUAACAUUCCUGUUCAUCACAACAAUCUGAGCAAAAUCAAGUUGGGCAACGCUGGCAACAGUAAUGUGAAUUCUAAGCUCAACGAAGCGCAUAAGGGCAAUAGUAACUCAGCAGCGGCCGCAUUCCCAACCAGCGCACCGAACGGCAUAAAAAUGCCGCUUUUCGAUCCCAUCCAAUAUCCAGCACAUUUAUUUUGGAAUCCCUCGCCAGCCUUUAGCCAAAUGCAUAUGGAAUUCAAUCGCAAUGCAAUGGCGGCGCAAAGCGCCAGCGCGGCCCAACGCUACACCGAAGAAGCGCUACGUGGCGUUGGCGGCACAUCAGCUGGUACGCCUUCUAACGCCAACAGCCCCAGUCCUAUUGCCAGUCCGUUGUCGGCUGCGACAAGUCAUACACUCAAUAUGAAGAGUGCGCGUGAGCUGGCCGAAAAUUUGUAUGAAAGCGCUGGCGCCAAUGGUUCCUCAAUACUCGACGGCAUCAUACGGAAAACGCUCGAUCGCAAAAGCACCGAUGUGGGACCGCCCAACAGUGCUAGCACUGGCGGUGCACUACUGGACCACUUGCUGGUCAAGAAAAGUGCACUACCACCAUAUACCAGCAAUAACAGUAACGAUCAUCGCUCACCCCACGCCAUGAGCAGUCUACGCGCCAAACGCGCCGCCAGUCCUCUUGCUUAUACCGAAAUCAAACGUGAACGUGGCAGUCCGCCACACAGUAGCGGUGACGACGAUGACGACGACGCCUCACGCAGCGGCAACGACGAAAGUAGCUACGAGCACAACAACAAUAACAACAGCAAAGGUAGUUACAUCGGCAAUAAUGAGUUACACCUCCAGCAUCAGCCCUUGCACCAUCAACAACACAGUCGCAGUCGCAGCCGCUUAACCUCCCACGACUCUGCCGAAACCGAUACGAGCAGCAUACCUAGCGAGCUCAUGACGAAUCACAACAACGGCAACAAACUAACCGCUGAUCUUAAUGGAAAUGGCGGUAGCGCGACCAUGAGCGGUAUGCUGCCCAAAGUGGAACCACCGCUAGAAUUUGGACAUGCACCGCCCACAUUGGGUAGCACAUCCAUACUACAGGAAAAGUUGGCGCAAAUUAAGGCCGAGCAGGAGAACGAAGAGCACUUAUAGAGAUGAAUGAAGCCAUAUGGCAUGUCGUUACAUUAGCGGUACUAAAACGCUAAGGGGUGUGGGGGGGCAAUUAAUAAUGGUGCUGAUUGUAGGCUCAGUAAAAGGGCGCAGAGCCAAACGGCACCGACAGGCGUACAAAUCUACCUAGAAUCCAAAACAGAACGGGCAUAGCAGUAGCAGCGAGGCACAGCGGCAUACCCUCGAUCUGCAGGCAUGCUAGAGCAAAAGCUGUUGGGCGAAAGAAACUUCAACUUGUGGCACUCAUCAUGCCGAACGUUAGUUGGGAUAUGUACUCAGAGAUCGGGAUUGCCGAUCGAUGGUCGCUAACGGUAAUCGGUUCAAACAGAAGUCAAAAUUGAAGUGCGGCAAUUUAAGCUCUUAGUAUAUAAUUACCUAGCAACCACACACAUGCAGCCAUGCAUACAAUUAGUACAUACACACAAGUAUAUAAUAUGCUAAUAUAUUUAGGAGAAAUUAUGUACACAAGCGUACAUACAGAACAGACAUUUGUGUAUGAAUGAAAUGUACAGUUUAUACCCACACAACAAACAGGCAGACAAAGGAAGUUCAUAAGUGUAGAGAGGGUUAGAAGUGGAGAAGGCAGAGAUGGCGAAGCAAUGGGCUGCUUAUAUGUAUAUAUAGACAAAAUUGAAUUUAUAGUGCAAUUGUUUUUUAAAAAACGAAUUAAAGUAGUGAAAAUCUUUAAGCGUGUGAGCACGUUCUUACUUUCAAAUAGAAACAUUAAUGGCAAUGUUUUUGUUUAAUAAUAUUUUUCUCUAAUUAUCUUAUUAACGCUUUUUUAUGUGUAAAUGUUUUGAAACAUGAAAGAAAAGGACUCAAAGGACUUUUUUGUAUUUUUUAACAAAGUGAAAUGUUGCUAUAAUUUUUAAAAUUUACAAUUUAUAUUGUUGAUAUUUACCAACAACAACAAUAUUGCAUACGUUAAGCGAAAUUGAAAUCAAAAAAUUCGCAUUGCGCGUUACGGUCCUUUGGACUGUGAGCGGCGAAUGGCAGAACGCAUAUUUAUAUUUACUAUAUUUAUAAUUACAAAACAAAUAAAAAAUAAAAACUUUUUUAUAUAUAUUUUACACAUAAUAAACGAAAAAUCCAAAUAAAAUUAAUAUUAAUCAUUCUAUUUUACAAAUAAAGGUAUUGUAUUUAGAUAUCUAUUAUAUUUGCUAUAUUGUUUGAAUGAAACGAGUUAAAAUUGUGUAAGCGCAUUUAAUGCAAUGCAAAGUAAACUGUAAUAUUAAUACUGAAAAUGUUGCAAUGACCUCGUGUACCAAAUGUAAUUACGAUCUGACUUGUUUAGUUGUUUGUGUAAACACUAUUUAUUAAUUUUUAUAUAAUAACCGAUGUUUACCAAAUAAGCGUAUGGUAAGCUCUUUAGUUGCGGUUAAGGUAAAGAAAACUAUAUAGAAAGGACGAAAAGCGCGUAAAAUGAUAAUUUCAAUAGACAAAAAAAAGGUGAUUACGAAAAAACAAGAUUAUUAGAAAUCUGCUACAUGCCACAAUUAAAAAAAAAAUUUUGUGAAAUUUACUGUAUUCAAAAAUGUAAACAAAUAUUUUGUCAGCAUAUUCACCAAAAACACACACACUUUCGAUAAUUAAAUCGACCCAAAGCAAGAAGGAAGAUUUUUCUUUGUUGGCAAAUAUUUAGAAAAUAUUUCUUCAUACUUUAUUUUAGCACACAACGUUUUUAUAUAAACAUAAAUACAACAGUUAAAAAUUUUGUAAACAUAAUUUAACAAACAUUUUAUUUUAAUACCCUCUGUGAAACUAAAACACAUACCAAGAUGACCAGAUUUACCAAAUAAAAGCGUUAAAUAAACAAAACAAAUCUUAAAAAUUGUGUAAUAAGGCACAUUGCAACAACAUACAUAAAUACAACUAAACCAAUUAAUUACAGCAUACACUCAAAGAGAUAAAAAAAUAAACCAAACAGCAAAACUUAAACAAACAAUAGUAAAAACAGCUUAUUUUCCAAACAAAACAAAUCAUAUAAGUGAAAAAGAGCAAUAGCCCAAAUAUAUAUAGCAAUGCUUUGUGUAUUGUAUAUAUAUCCAUCUACACAAUAUAUACAUAUGUACAUUCUACUAUAUACAUACAUAUACAAAUAUAUUGGAUAAAUCGCAAAAAAGCCGAAAAACUAUUGGUAAUUUACAGAAAUAAGAAACAAAACAAAACCCACAAUAGUAAUCUUCCCUCUCCACACGCACAAAAAUAUAAAACAACAACACUGAAUAUGUUAUAUAAAAAAUAAUUGAUUGCAAAUCAAAGAAAUUAAUAUA